AAAGAUAGGACCGAAAGAUUGAAUCGUAAAAAGAAGAAUAUCGGAAAUGCAACAUGCAAAUUAAAUAUUGAAUAAUUUGAUUUUUAAAAGAAAUGACUAAACAAAAAGAGGAUCCACAACUUCAAAAAAACAAAAGAAUGAUAAAAAAAAUGCAAAAAGGAGUGGAAUGGAACGAAAUCGACAGGUUAUAGACGAAUAGAAGGAACACAGCUAAAUAUUGCUGUGUUUGCACCCACUAUUAAAACAAUUAUCGAAAGCACGAAUAUUGCACGUCUGUUUAAACUUAAGCGAAUGGAGGGUUGCAAAACUUUCUCAUAAUGAAACGGUUUAACUUCUGAGUAUCCCAAUAAGGCAAGAACAGGAUCAUGUUUAGACCACGUACAUAUAAGGUUAUAAAAACCAAAAGCAAAUGGAAGAAGUGUCCAUACCCGCUUUCUCCUUGAGUAGUCUAGGAAAAUACCGCAAAAACCUAGCCAGUAGGCAGCAAAGGUAGACACAUAACCAAUAAUAAAUCUCCCUGUGCAAGUUAAAGGAUUGAGGUUGUGCUUAAAUUUGUGGUUGAGAAAGCGAUAGUAGGCGGGUUUGAGAAGGAAAUUGAGAAGAUAAGUUUCGACGUCUUCAAACAGACGCAACUCGUCUUGUCUUUGAUGUUCCUUGCAAUCUAAAAUAGGUUGAACGAGCUGUGGUGGUAGCAUAACUUCAUGUGGAGAUGCUGGAUUGAAAUAUUUUUCGAUAAUAAUUUGAGUAAACAUUUUAACUUGCUCUUUACUGAUAACCGUUGAUUCCUGCGUUAAACUUUGAAUAUUUGAUGUCAAAAGGUUUUUUAAAUAAGCAGCUCUAUCUUUAGAGAGUAGUAAGUCUGAGGAGUUGAUAGUUUGUUCAUUGGAUAAUUCUUCAAGAAGAAGAGGACCAAAAUUUGGCCAGUACACUGUACUCAAAUCUUCAAGAGAAAGGCUUGCUGACCUAAACCGCGUAAAGUGGUGAGGACCAAGUGUGGAACUGCUUUCUGUAUUCAAAGAAGUGCUAGUAACACCAGCUUUGUAUAGACCUCUUAUAUGCUCUCGAAAGAGAAAUUUGUGAAGCAUAAUAUCAAGAAACAAAUCUAAAAAUUCUAUUGCAUUUUCUUCAUCACGUAUAUAAAUGUAAAAGUUGUAUAAACUCAACGGUGGAAGAUUUUUUUUGGUUAAAACUUCUGAAACUCUCGGGGCGGAAGCCAUUCAGACAACCACCUCAAGACAAGUACUAGAGUUCCUAAAUUAAUCCGAUUUUAAUGUGUAUCAAAA
Molecule: non-coding RNA, 1283 nt
Organism: Schizosaccharomyces pombe (fission yeast)
Lineage: Eukaryota; Fungi; Ascomycota; Schizosaccharomycetes; Schizosaccharomycetales; Schizosaccharomycetaceae
Source: the annotation of a GenBank genome assembly